Molecule: long non-coding RNA, 769 nt
Organism: Arabidopsis lyrata subsp. lyrata
Lineage: Eukaryota; Viridiplantae; Streptophyta; Magnoliopsida; Brassicales; Brassicaceae
Exons: 3
Source: RefSeq, a predicted model, not a curated record
UUAGAGUUUUUCUCCACAAAAAAUCGAGUGUGAAUCCUAUAUCCACACUUAUCACCGCCGUUAUCCUCCGCUUAACCACCCUGAAGCUUCGUCUGUUGCUCUGCUAAACGUCCAACUGUCUAUGCUUCACUAAGCCUUGCUACAUUGAGGGAACAAUUAGAACUACUCUCGGAAGAGAAGACCCUUGGAGGGCUUCCCAGGAGGACAGCAGAUGAACUGGUAAGAUAAAACCAUUGGUGUGAGCACCAACAAGAGCAAACCAAGUUCAAACGUAACUUUGAAUUUUGCUUGGUCAAGUCGGAGAACAACCUAAUGGCUAUUUCAUUAAGCUCUUGUCCUGCAAGAAUAAAGAAGAGUUGUCAACAUUAUUUGCACCAAUACCUGUGAAGCUACCAGAGUUUGAGACUCACUAGUUUUGGUUUCGGUUUGGUUUUUAGGUAGUUGAAGGACGAGCGCUGAGCUAAAUUUGUCUUAAGAAAACAUAGCAUCUGCAUCAGAAUCCAAGUCAUGAGGGAAGAAGACCCUGCAGAAAUAGAAACAAUUCAUCAGGACAAAACCUUUACAUAAGAACAGUUUUUGGAUCUCCUCUUUAAAUGUCAUUUUCUGUAACUGAUCUAGAAAUGAUGUAAUACCGACAUGAAGAGAAAACAUGCCUGCAAGUGCUGUGGUACAAGGUUGAGCUAACUUGAUUGAUAUCACCAAGGAGAGCUAAAGCCUAAAGGCCAUAGUAUUUAAUGGAAAAAUAGUGGAAGUCUUUUACCAAGUUACA